Molecule: transfer RNA, 83 nt
Filed under: bacterium
Lineage: Bacteria
Also listed under: 3 other names
Description: tRNA-Ser
Rfam family: tRNA
About the family: Transfer RNA (tRNA) molecules are approximately 80 nucleotides in length. Their secondary structure includes four short double-helical elements and three loops (D, anti-codon, and T loops).
Source: RNAcentral
GGAGGGCUAGUCCUAACGGUAAGGCAGCGGACUUGAAAUCCGCCGGGAGCAAUCCCAUGGGGGUUCGAAUCCCUCGCCCUCCG